GUGCAGAGAAGCUAUUUAAAAUCAUUUUCAUAAGAAGUGAGAGCUUCCCAUGAAACAAAACAAAAGAUGUUUGUCUUUUAUGAAGAUGAAAUCAUCACAGGGCCGAGAUGUUAAUCUACCGUGUUUUCUAAAUCAUCCUUUCAAAGUUAAUAAAUGUCCUGUAGCAAAGUACUGACGUUAUGCAACCCCGUGUCUCCCUAAAUCAAUUUUCCUUCCACUUGUGUACACUUCCUCCCGGUCACGCCAGACCCACGGCAUCACAGUCAUGCCUUGUUAAAGCUGGCUCCAUGCUGGGGCUGCACUCCUGCAGCACCCAGCCCUGCAAAUACUGCUUUAUUCACCUGCUGAGGAGCAGACAAGCCUGGCCACAGUUCGUUGUGUGUUGUGCAUGAUAGCAACAAUUUAUCAUGUGUUUCCCUGGUAACUACAACAUUGUGAACCUUCCUUGGAAACUCCAUUGGGAUUCCUGCAAUAUUUGUGAGCAUAAUGAAUGGGAUCAAGAAGUUGCUUAGAAGUAUGAAUAAUUUCAGUGUUUCAGAGCAACACCCUGAAGUCAGCCACUGCCACCACCAUCUCUGGGUGACUGUGGAGCCCGAGGUGACUUCCCCAGCAUGGACUGGAACAACGUAGCUCUGCUGGAAGAGGAACCUCCCUCCACUGUGACCUUAUUUGCCAUCAAUUAUUUGGGUGUGUGCCAUUCCAGGCUAUGCAGCAGGAGCAGGCAGAUGGACUGCAGCCCUGCUCUGUACACCAGGUGGCCUCAGCGGUAUGUGCUUCAGCCCUGAUCAUCUCAAGGUGCAACCACCACUCCUGACGAUGCCCUUUUUGUUUGCGGUGAUCUGAGCAUGCCUUGCAGUGCAGUGAAACAGAGCCAAGAAUCGUGCAACAGGAGAACAUGUAGGAGAUAAAACACGUGCACGGAUGGGAUUGAUAUCAGAAGGCAUCUGUUAAACACACAUAAUGUUUGUAUGAAACAGCUCUGCAGACAAUGAGUACUACUGUGUUGUAGCUACCUGGAGGGACAGAGAGUUGUUAUCCUCUUCUCUUAGAAUAAAGUUCUUAAAAAAUAAAAGCCUCAGCCACAGGCAAGCAUUUUGCAUGUUGCCACAUAGUGAUUUAUUCAUUAAAGAGGAGAACGGAGGAACCAACAGGUGACUGAUAAAACUGCUGUGUGGGAAACUGCAAGAGGGUCUCAGUGAGAGGCUGAUUGUUCCCAUGGAGGGAAGCUACUGGUGGAAUCUCUCAUCUCACUGUACACAAAGCAGGAGCACACUGAUUAAAUCUGCUGGCCACAUGAAGUUAGAGGAUGCUAUUAGUGAGAUGGAAAAUAGUGAGUCACAGAAACUUGGCAAGGCUCAGUCAUACAAAAUGUAGGUUGUCCACCCGUGGUGGCAGUCAUCUGACAAAAAGGAAAUUUCUGUGGAGGAGUUACCAUGAAUUCUUGUUACUGUUACCAGCGACAAAAGCACUUUAAACAUACUAUCCGUAUCUUUUUAAAAUGGAUACCUAAGGUACAUUUAAAGGACUUUGCACUAAAUGUAGCUAUCAGUCACUCAUGAUGGUAAGAACUCCAUAAGGACUCUGGGUCAGCUGCAGAUGCAUGAACUGUGCUCAUCUAGAUGCUGGAGAUUAAUUAUAUGUUGCUUUAGAGGAGAAUAAUAAAUUCUCUGCAAGAUGGUGCCAUCCACACGGAGGGAUAGAGGAAGGGCAGCUUGAUCUGCUCAAGCGUGGAGACCUCUGAUCUGAUUUUCAAAUUGGAAAACAGGGAAACAAAUAAAAACUGAAAGUGAGCUAUGAUUCUGGAGUGUUCAGUCAAUGUAUUUCUUGCACUGAAAGUCCUGCUGUGAGGCAGAAAUGAAUUUCAACGAGGAACAAGUGCAAGGGCUGUCUGUGAUGAUGACCAGGCAGUGAUCAUCACUUCAGAGAGGACAGAGGUAGUUUGGCCAGAGGAAAGGGAAGGGAAGUUCUGGGAAGGGAAGUUUUGGGAAGGGAAGUUCUGGGAAUGGAAGUUCUGAGAAAUUCUGGGAAGUUCUGGGAAGUUCUGGGAAGGCAAGGCAAGGCAAGGCAAGGCAAAGCUGUGGGAUUUUCCAGAUGCCAUCCAAAAUUUCUUUUAGCAGAUUAGCCUUUAGGUUGUAAACCACCUCUAUCUUUCCUCAGUAUUAUCAAAGACAGAGCCAUGUUUUCAUUAAUUUUUUUUGAGCUGUUCCCCACAUGGCAUGCUGGCUGCAUCUCUCCUCAGCAUGGCUUCUUUCUAUGCCAUGCCUACAGUGACCUGGUCAAGCACUGUCCCAGACCCUAAGCUUUCCCAUUCCCUGUAGGGCUUACCAAAGAUUGUUCAAAUGAGCUUCUCUGAUGGCAUGGAGGUAACUGGGCCCAAUCUAGACCGGGGUCAGUGCCACAUCCUAUAGCUUGACAUUUCUUCUUUUUUCCCUUCCCUCUUUAGCCUUGCAAAAAUAGGAGGGGAACUUGAAUGCUGAGAAAUCACAGUAGCCAUGAGGAUUGCAACAGCUUGCCAGAAUGGAGGGAUACAUGACUGGAGAGACAGAAAAAUCACAGAGAGAUCUGAAAGAGGGAGGGAAUGAAGAAUUAAAGUGAUCAACACCUAGAAUUAAACUAUCAGUCAACAGAGAUUAAAUGCAAUAGGAAACAAGGCAGGGCUAUGCAGUACCUGACGUAUUCUAUUUCAGCAGUGGGAAAACUCUCCUACCAGAAACUAGUUAGUGGUCAAAUAACCCAGGUUGCUUAGAGAAGCUGUGGCUGUCCUAUCCCUGGAAGUGGUCAAGACUCGAUUGGACGAGGCUUGGAGCAACAUGGGAUAGUGGAAAGUAUCCCUGCUCAAGGCAGAGGGAUUGGAGUGGGAUGGACUUUAAAAGCCCCUUCCAAACCAAAGCAUUCCGUGAUUUUGUGAUUCUAAGUUGGUUAAAACACGUGAAAUAAUUGAAACUCCACCUCCCUUGGUUUUGUAAAGGAAAACCACAAUCCUUCCUUCUACUUGAACCCUUUGCAUAUUUGCCAAAGGGUGACAUGAGAGAGGACAGGUGGGCAGACUGCCUCAGGGCAUUCCCCACUCAUCCUCACCUGUCAUGGAGGGCCACCAAAGAGCAAGUGGUUGGCUUCUAAUGGGACAAGGCUCAAGAAGGUUUUGGUAAAAGAUGAAAUAAUUGGAUGUGUCUUAUAAGAAGGAAGUAGGCAGUAGGAAAGGAGGGAGGGUGUGGUUUGGAGGUGGCAGAGUUACUUGUGGAUGGUGGUGAAGCACAUGGGUGAGUUUAAGUUCAGGCAUGCAGCUCAAGAGUUAGACCAGAGACCACAGCAAAGGCCUGGUAAGGAUGUGCUGAGUCAGAUCCUGGGCAGUGGGGAGAAACAUUUCUCAUUAUUGUAAACUGUUUUUUUCCCUCCUGCACUGCUUAAUUGAUCUCGGGAACUUGCUAAGUAAAGUAUUACUGGGCAUGCAAUUUUGCAGGAGGAAAAUAUAGCUGGAAAAGCUCUGAGUUAUCUCACAGAGGAUAGAUGCAUAAUGGGAGCACAAAAUAACAUAAACUCUCAUACUACAGGGUAUACAGUCAUUACUGCUGACAGGUUUAUACAGCAAAAUUAGUCCAUAAUUGCUCAAAGGGAAUUCUUGUGUCUUCCUCUGAGGAACUCUCGGAGGGAGAAUCUGGAUUAAAAGCACUUCUAAUUGUAUUCAGUGCAACUUUUCCUAUAUCUUAGCAAAUAUUUUCCAUUUCUGACUCAUAUAAUAUGGAAAAAAAUCAUAUCUCCUGCAGGUUACGUAAAUUUUAGUAAAAACAGAAGUUUGAUUUUUGUGAACGGGAUUCCUGGGAAAAGCGGCAAGAUCCAAACAAAAGCAGUACAUGAGCUGUUUUACAGGGUCAUCCUACCUGCAGGCAUCUAAUGGAACUGCAGUUGUGCAUAGUCAGUGAACAUCUCCCAUUUAAUCAGUGCCUUAAUUGCAGGGCCUCCUGAGACUUUUUUACAGGGUCCCCUGAGACUCCUUUGUCUUUGUAGCAUUAUGUCCAGAUGCACAGAAGAUGGAACCCCUUCCCUUCCCUUCCCUUCCCUUCCCUUCCCUUCCCUUCCCUUCCCUUCCCUUC
Molecule: long non-coding RNA, 4091 nt
Organism: Prinia subflava (tawny-flanked prinia)
Lineage: Eukaryota; Metazoa; Chordata; Aves; Passeriformes; Cisticolidae
Exons: 4
Source: RefSeq, a predicted model, not a curated record